RNAcentral lists this long non-coding RNA (1201 nucleotides) under Chrysemys picta bellii (western painted turtle). RNAcentral's name for it is "lncRNA (ENSCPBG00000005513.1)". Lineage: Eukaryota; Metazoa; Chordata; Testudines; Emydidae. The record is from RNAcentral.
AGUUUGGGGUUUAGGGCAGACUGCUGUUCCAUAGUACAGGGUUCCAAGGCUGUAGCCUGCAGUAGUGGGAGGUCCUGGGCUUCCCUCUGGUACCACCAGAGGUAGUGGUAAAACCCUGCAAUGGAGAGAAAGGUCUCUGAGAGGUGCAGUGGCCUAGAAGUGCCAAGGAUUGCUUGAUCUCUGAUAUAAAGAGAGAGGAGGAGCCCCCUUCAGCCACAGGGGAAGGAUGUAAUGGUUGCCAGAGUCUAGGCAGGGGCCUUUUUUGGAGGAAGAUGGGUGUCUUUUGAUUUGACUAGAGGGCUAAAUUGCCCUACCAGCCCUGGGAAGACAGUAGUCAUUUGGAAAACUGAGGCAUGAUCGCACACCUGCCUUCAGAGAGACACCCUGAAACCUUCAGCAGAAGUGAAAUGUGUUUCCUGAACCAAGGUGAAGAGCCCCCUAUUCUAAUCAGAGAGGCAGUAUGUUGUGGCCAGUUGCCAAACAGCCAGGGCUCUGGACAUGAUGGAAACUUGAGAAGAAGCAUUGCACAUCUGCACCUUUAGUUGGCGUAGCAAACAAGAAGCUGUUCUCCACCUUGGGCCAACAAGGGGAGACAACCUGUUUUCAAGAAUGGUGAGUGUCAAUGAGGGCACAAUGGUCCUGAUUUCACACCAAUGAAAGGGCCCAAUCCUGCAAGUUGCUGAGUGCCGUCAACUCCCAUAGUGGUCCACGGGUGUGGAAAGCAUUGAGCGCUCUGCAGGAUCAGGCCCUUAGAAUCAUAGAUUAGGGUUGGGAGAGACCUCAGGAGGUCAUCCAGUCCAACCCCCUACUCAAAGCAGGACCAACACCAACUAAAUCAUCCCAACCAGGGCUUUGUCAAGCCGGGCCUUAAAAACCUCUAAGGAUGGAGAUUCCACCACCUCCCUAGGUAACCCAUUUCAGUGCUUCAUCACCCUCCUAGUGAAAUAGUGUUUCCUAAUAUCCAACCUAGACCUCCCCCACUGCAACUUGAGACCAUUGCUCCUUGUUCUGUCAUCUGCCACCACUGAGAACAGCCGAGCUCCAUCCUCUUUGGAACCCCCCUUCAUGAGGCAUAACCCCAUCAAAGUUAGUGGAGUUAUACCAGUAAAAAACUAGUGUAAAUGAGAGCACAAACAAGCCUACGGAACUCAAACAGGAAUUUAGGCAGACCUUUUCUGCAUGGGCUGUGGACAUGGAGUUA